CGGGCCAGGCCGGGGGUCCUGGGCAGGUCUGGAGCCCGAUAUGAUGGCCGCUGCGGACUUGUGUACAGUCAGGCGUGGUGGUCGUGCCCUUUCGUGUCCUCAGGUGGCUACUGUGACCCUCACCUCUCCUGCAUGACCGGGUCGGACCAGUUCCGUCGGAUACGGUGACGUGGAGAGGGCACCUGGUCUCUCCGGCUCGGGUCUUCGUCUAGUGGGUGACACGUUAAUCAGCGUGCAGUUACCGUGGUCCUGAGGGAUGAAGGCCAAGGAACUUGGCGUAGACUGGAAGGCUUCCUGGAGGAGAAAGGGGAAACUGGAGACAGACAAGCACACAGGGAGAACGAUCAUGAACACGGAUGGCCAUCUGCAAGCUUAGGAGAGCGGCCUGGAGCAGACUCACUCCCUCAACGGCUCUGGGGGAAGCAGCCUCUGACACCGUGAUCCUGGACUUCUGGAUUCCAGAGCAGUGGGGAGAUAAAUUUGUGUUGUUUAAGCCGCCAGGUUUAUUUAUGGUACUUGUUUGGGCAGCCCCAGGAACAAAUACGGGGAGGGGGCCUGACACUGUUCCGGGAAAUGAAGAAAAGUGCCCUGUGGCUAGAGCCCAGGGGCCCAGGGGGAGCAGGGUCCUCUGGGUGGCUCCACUGGGUCCCAGUGGGGGAUGCAAGGGAGGAUUUAAGGUGGAAGAGUUUUGCGUAAGGUUUGUGUUUUUAGAAAACUGCUUUGGCUGUUGCAGAACAGGUUAGCAGGGAGCCAGGCAGUCGCCACAUGAGGCCGUUGCAAAGGCCGUGCUCUGGCUGAGAUGAGUGAGUAAACAGUUAAAUGGGGGUGGUGGACUUCCCGCCCCAGAAGGUGCUGCAGACUCACUUUCCCAGCUGCUCCCCACGAAGUACAACUAAGUACCUUGCAGCUAGUUCAGCAGACAAUGGGGAAAGGCUCUGAGCUGGAAAGGAGAUGGGCUGACUGGGGACUCCAGCACUGGAGGAACAGCCAUGGGAUGGGUCCCUGGAGUUUCUCUUUCUUGUUUACAGGUUCCUGGAAUAGGCGCUAGAGGGGGCUGCAACCCAGACCUGCCGACAGGCCACUCACUGAGUACACGAUCACUGCCUCAGCAUCUGUUCUGUGUGGCCCGCUGCCUGCGGGGCCUUGAACUGACAGGAGCCCUCCCGCGAGUGCGUGACCUAGAUGACAGCCCGCAGAGUCACCAGUAAACCGAAGUUCCUGAUGUGACCCCCCCGCCCAACACCCUUGUGAUAACCUCUCUCCCUGUGGGCCCCAUAGAUUAAACCCCUGUGAAGCUCACCAAAACCCUGCUCCCUCUGGUUUGAACUGACCUAUCCAGCCUUAGCCCAGGAACCCCAAAGCACAGCCCUGUGGACCUAAUACAGGUGUGCGCCCCGGGUCCCGACUCCUGGGCACUCUGCCUGUACCUCCUCCAGGACCUGUGAGUCGUAAGCUUCCCUGUUCCGCUGUUUCUUGAGGUCUUUGUUGAGCCACCAGGCAGCCUGGCCGCAUGCCUUCUGACACUGCAGGCAGCACCCACAGGGAUGGAGUGACAGCCGGGGCAGCACCGGGAGAAUGGAGCAGACAGGAAGGGCAUUGCAAGGGAUGGGGAAAUAAAACUAUCAUUGGAACCACAGGCCAUAAAAGUAGGCUGGAAUUUAUACACUAAACCUAAAUUGGAUGACUUUCUGCUGAAAUAGAAGAUUAAUUUUUUGUUUGA
Orcinus orca (killer whale) is the source of this 1720-nucleotide long non-coding RNA. RefSeq lists it as uncharacterized. The record is from RefSeq and is a predicted model, not a curated record. NCBI's taxonomy places the organism in Eukaryota, Metazoa, Chordata, Mammalia, Artiodactyla, Delphinidae. The transcript is spliced from 2 exons.